This 304-nucleotide long non-coding RNA is filed under the name Rattus norvegicus (Norway rat). RNAcentral describes it as "long non-coding RNA NONRATT012810". Lineage: Eukaryota; Metazoa; Chordata; Mammalia; Rodentia; Muridae. The record is from RNAcentral.
CGCCAGCUUUCGGGGCGACCUUAGAGGGGCUCUGCGCCCCCCGUGUGGCUCGCGCUAAGCCCGGCAGGAGGGAGCGUCUCGGCGGAGGAGUGAGGAGGACGGGAGGGAGAGGCGGGCCAGAGCCUCGGUCCCGGGCGCCCUGGUCGGCCGCGGAGGAACUGCAGCCUCCAACAGGAAGUCAAGCAUCUCUGACAUGCUAUCUACCCUGCUUGGUGCCUGAGGAUCCUGCAUCCCGGCUCAUCCAGGAAGCACAGGCGAGCUCAUUCCCCGAAGGCAGACCAGCCAGGAGUGCUGAAUGCGAAUU